Molecule: ribosomal RNA, 220 nt
Filed under: uncultured bacterium
Lineage: Bacteria
Description: partial 16S ribosomal RNA
Rfam family: Bacterial small subunit ribosomal RNA
Source: RNAcentral
GGCGGGGUAACGGCCCACCAAGGCGACGAUCCGUAGCUGGUCUGAGAGGACGAUCAGCCACACUGGGACUGAGACACGGCCCAGACUCCUACGGGAGGCAGCAGUGGGGAAUCUUGCGCUAAUGCGGGAAACCGUGACGCAGCGACGCCGCGUGGGGGAAGAAGGCCUUCGGGUUGUAAACCUCUUUCAGGAGGGACGAAGCUACUCGGGUUAAUAGCCC